GAUGAAGAACGCAGCGAAAUGCGGUAAGUAAUGUGAAUUGCAGAAUCCAGUGAAUCAUCGAAUCUUUGAACGCACAUUGCGCCCGCCAGCAUUCUGGCGGGCAUGCCUGUUCGAGCGUCAUUUCAACCCUCGACCUCCCUUUGGGGAAGUCGGCGUUGGGGACCGGCAGCACACCGCCGGCCCUGAAAUGGAGUGGCGGCCCGUCCGCGGCGACCUCUGCGUAGUAAUCCAACUCGCACCGGAACCCCGACGCGGCCACGCCGUAAAACACCCAACUUCUGAACGUUGACCUCGAAUCAGGUAGGACUACCCGCUGAACUUAAGCAUAUCAAUAAGCGGAGGA
This 343-nucleotide unclassified non-coding RNA is filed under the name soil metagenome. RNAcentral describes it as "partial contains 5.8S ribosomal RNA, internal transcribed spacer 2, and large subunit ribosomal RNA". The stretch from base 1 to 120 matches the Rfam family "5.8S ribosomal RNA", at positions 35 to 154 of the family's 154-position model. The record is from RNAcentral.